This is a long non-coding RNA of Dreissena polymorpha, 1329 nucleotides long. RefSeq lists it as uncharacterized. NCBI's taxonomy places the organism in Eukaryota, Metazoa, Mollusca, Bivalvia, Myida, Dreissenidae. The transcript has 3 exons. The record is from RefSeq and is a predicted model, not a curated record.
GGAGCAGACAACUGUAACAGGCAUUUUGUAAGAAUUAUGGCUCUUUUUCCACUUAGAAUAUGCAUACUAUUGAUAAAUCUAUGUUAAAGUUUGCGUACCACAUCAAAUAAUUUCUAUGUUCAUUGUAAUAUUGCUUUUAUAUUUUUCAUACAUCUUGACCAACAUGACCACAAUCUAUAAUCAAGAGCAGACAACCAUAUCAAGCAUUUUGACCCCAUACAAUCACACAUCUUUACACAGCUGAACAACUACAGGCCUUCUGGACAUCCAAGGACAAUGCCUUGGUAAAGGUGUCAAGCUCUUGGGUCAGGAAUUUUGGGUAAAGCUCCUACCCCCAGGGUACAGCCAGUCUAUCCAUGGAACUCCAAACUUCCCUGCUCAGGGGCCAAGACUACCUCAUCUACAAGGGACCUUAUCCUCACAAGUUCAGUCCCAGAGAAAAAUGUUACCCAACUGCAACACAGGCAAUACAUCUCAACAGGUAAGUCCCAGUAAUAGUUUGUUAUCCCCCGCCAUAGGCGGAGGGAUAUUGUAUUGGCGUUGUCUGUCCAUCCGUCUUUCCGUCCGUCCUUCAGUCCAUCUGGCACUUUUGUGUCUGGAGCUAUAUCUUGGAAGUGCUUUGGUUGAUUUCAUUGAAAUUUGGUAUGAGUAUGUAUAUGGAUAAGAGGAUGAUGCACCCCAAAUGGGCAUUGUACACUAUUUGUUAAUAAUGGAGUUAUGACCCUUUGUAUCUUGAAAAAAAUGCUUUAUAAUAUAAGCUUAGGGCUGCAUCUUUAUUUAACACAUGAGCCAGAGCCAUGAAACUUGCCAUAGUUGUUGCCAAUCAUCUGGAGGUGCUUCACAUUCAACACUUAUAAUGCUAGGGGCUAAGGUCAAGGUCACACAUUAUUUAGUCAUUUCUUUACUAUGCAUCAAGGGAUUCUGUAAUAACUGUCCAAUUGUUCUCCAGUAUCUAGCUGAGUGUCAAAUAUAAGAUCCAGGUUGCUAGGCGCGUGGUCAAAGUCACACACAAAGAUCAAAAUCACACAUUUUGAUUAAAUAUGCCUUAUUUGGUAAGGAUUCUGCCAUACUAAAUUGAUUCACAAAAUGGCCUGAUGUAAUUGUCCUCAAAUAUCAGGCAGUGCAAGACCUAUGCGUUUGUGACCCAAGUCAAGGUCACACAUCAAAGGUCACACAUUUGUAGAAAUAUUUACUGCUUAGCCAUUAUUUUACUAUGCUCAGUGGAUUCUGUUUUGACCUUCUAUAAUUCUUUUCCAUCUUCUUCCUUGCUGUGUGUCGUAUGUAAGAUUCAUGUCUAGGGUUAAGGUUCAUGUCUAAGGUUAAGGUCAA